ACUCCUGCGGGAGGCAGCAGUGGGGAAUAUUGCACAAUGGGCGCAAGCCUGAUGCAGCCAUGCCGCGUGUAUGAAGAAGGCCUUCGGGUUGUAAAGUACUUUCAGCGGGGAGGAAGGCGAUAAGGUUAAUAACCUUGUCGAUUGACGUUACCCGCAGAAGAAGCACCGGCUAACUCCGUGCCAGCAGCCGCGGUAAUACGGAGGGUGCAAGCGUUAAUCGGAAUUACUGGGCGUAAAGCGCACGCAGGCGGUCUGUCAAGUCGGAUGUGAAAUCCCCGGGCUCAACCUGGGAACUGCAUUCGAAACUGGCAGGCUAGAGUCUUGUAGAGGGGGGUAGAAUUCCAGGUGUAGCGGUGAAAUGCGUAGAGAUCUGGAGGAAUACCGGUGGCGAAGGCGGCCCCCUGUACAAAGACUGACGCUCAGGUGCGAAAGCGUGGGGAGCAAACAGGAUUAGAUACCCCGGUAGUCCCAUGA
Molecule: ribosomal RNA, 474 nt
Filed under: uncultured organism
Description: partial 16S ribosomal RNA
Rfam family: Bacterial small subunit ribosomal RNA
Source: RNAcentral